AGUGAACGCUGGCGGUAGGCCUAACACAUGCGAGUCGAACGGCAGCACAGUAAGAGCUUGCUCUUAUGGGUGGCGAGAGGCGGAAGGGUGAGGAAUAUAUCGGAAUCUACUUUUUCGUGGGGGAUAACGUAGGGAAAGUUACGCUCAUACCGCAUACGAUCUACGGGUGAAAGCAGGGGAUCUUCGGACCUUGCGCGAUUGAAUGAGCCGAUGUCGGAUUAGCUAGUUGGCGGGGUAAAGGCCCACCAAGGCGACGAUCCGUAGCUGGUCUGAGAGGAUGAUCAGCCACACUGGAACUGAGACACGGUCCAGACUCCUACGGGAGGCAGCAGUGGGGAAUAUUGGACAAUGGGCGCAAGCCUGAUCCAGCCAUACCGCGUGGGUGAAGAAGGCCUUCGGGUUGUAAAGCCCUUUUGUUGGGAAAGAAAAGCAUCAGGUUAAUACCCCGCUGUUCUGACGGUACCCAAAGAAUAAGCACCGGCUAACUUCGUG
RNAcentral lists this ribosomal RNA (492 nucleotides) under uncultured bacterium. RNAcentral describes it as "partial 16S ribosomal RNA". It matches the Rfam family "Bacterial small subunit ribosomal RNA", at positions 29 to 507 of the family's 1533-position model. The record is from RNAcentral.